Molecule: ribosomal RNA, 835 nt
Filed under: uncultured bacterium
Lineage: Bacteria
Description: bacterial SSU rRNA
Rfam family: Bacterial small subunit ribosomal RNA
Source: RNAcentral
GUCAGGGGUGAAAGACGGUGGCUCAACCAUCGCAGUGCCCUUGAUACUGAAGAGCUUGAAUACAUUAGAGGUAGGCGGAAUGUGACAAGUAGCGGUGAAAUGCAUAGAUAUGUCACAGAACACCGAUUGCGAAGGCAGCUUACUAUGAUGAGAUUGACGCUGAGGCACGAAAGCGUGGGGAUCAAACAGGAUUAGAUACCCUGGUAGUCCACGCCCUAAACGAUGAAUACUCGCUGUUAGCGAUACACAGUUAGCGGCUAAGCGAAAGCGUUAAGUAUUCCACCUGGGGAGUACGGACGCAAGAUUGAAACUCAAAGGAAUUGACGGGGGCCCGCACAAGCGGAGGAGCAUGUGGUUUAAUUCGAUGAUACGCGAGGAACCUUACCCGGGCUUGAAAGUUAGUGAAUCAUUUAGAGAUAGAUGAGUGAGCAAUCACACGAAACUAGGUGCUGCAUGGCUGUCGUCAGCUCGUGCCGUGAGGUGUUGGGUUAAGUCCCGCAACGAGCGCAACCCCUAUGUUUAGUUGCCAGCACGUUAAGGUGGGGACUCUAAACAGACUGCCUGUGCAAACAGAGAGGAAGGAGGGGACGACGUCAAGUCAUCAUGGCCCUUACGUCCGGGGCUACACACGUGCUACAAUGGAUGGUACAGAGGGCAGCAAGCUGGCAACAGCAAGCGAAUCUCCAAAAGCCAUUCACAGUUCGGAUAGAGGUCUGCAACUCGACCUCUUGAAGUUGGAUUCGCUAGUAAUCGCAUAUCAGCAAUGAUGCGGUGAAUACGUUCCCGGGCCUUGUACACACCGCCCGUCAAGCCAUGGAAGUUGGGGGUACCUAAA